CCUACGGGAGGCAGCAGUGAGGAAUAUUGGUCAAUGGGCUUACGCCUGAACCAGCCAAGUCGCGUGAGGGAAGACUGCCCUAUGGGUUGUAAACCUCUUUUGUCAGGGAGCAACGCCGGCUACGUGUAGCCGGACUGAGAGUACCUGAAGAAAAAGCAUCCGCUAACUCCGUGCCAGCAGCCGCGGUAAUACGGAGGAUGCGAGCGUUAUCCGGAUUUAUUGGGUUUAAAGGGUGCGUAGGCGGAAUGCCAAGUCAGCGGUAAAAUCGCGGGGCUCAACCUCGCUCCGCCGUUGAAACUGGCGUUCUGGAGUGGGCGAGAGGUAAGCGGAAUGCGUGGUGUAGCGGUGAAAUGCAUAGAUAUCACGCAGAACUCCGAUUGCGAAGGCAGCAAACCGGCGCCCAACUGACGCUGAAGAACGAAAGCGUGGGUAUCGAACAGGAUUAGAUACCCUAGUAGUC
Molecule: ribosomal RNA, 460 nt
Filed under: uncultured bacterium
Lineage: Bacteria
Description: partial 16S ribosomal RNA
Rfam family: Bacterial small subunit ribosomal RNA
Source: RNAcentral